CUCCGGGAGGUCGGGAUCGGGAUCGGGAUUGGGAUUGGGAUCGGGAUCGGGAUUGGGAUCGGGAUUGGGAUCGGGAUUGGGCAUUGGGAUCGGGAUCGGGAUCGGGAUUGGGAUCGGGAUCGGGAUUGGGAUUGGGAUCGGGAUUGGGAUUGGGAUCGGGAUUUGGGAUCGAGAUUGGGAUUGGGAUCGGGAUUGGGAUCGGGAUCGGGAUCAGGAUUGGGAUUGGGAUUGGGAUCGAGAUUUGGGAUCGGGAUUGGGGUCGGGAUCGGGGUCGGGAUUGGGGUCGGGAUUGGGAUUUGGGAUUGGGAUCGGGAUUGGGACCGAGAUCGGGAUCGGGAUUUGGGAUUGGGAUCGCAAUUGGGAUCUGGGUCAGGAUCGGGAUUGGGAUCGGGGUCAGGAUUUGGGUUGGGAUCAAGAUUGGGAUCGGGAUUGGGAUUGGGAUUUGGGAUUGGGAUUGGGAUUUGGGAUUGGGAUUGGGAUUUGGGAUUGGGAUCGGGAUCGGGAUUGGGAUUUGGGAUUGGGAUUUGGGAUUGGGAUUUGGGAUCGGGAUUUGGGAUCGGGAUUUGGCAUCGGGAUUUGGCAUCGGGAUUUGGGAUUGGGAUUGGGAUCGGGAUCGGGAUUGGGAUCGGGAUCGGGAUCGGGAUUUGGCAUCGGGAUUUGGGAUUGGGAUUUGGGAUUGGGAUUUGGCAUCGGGAUUCGGGAUUGGGAUUGGGAUCGGGAUUUGGGAUUGGGAUCCGGAUUGGGAUCAGGAUUGGGAUUGGGAUUGGGAUUUGGGAUCGGGAUUCGGGAUCGGGGUCGGGAUUGGGAUCGGGAUUUGGGAUUGGGAUUUGGAUCGGGGUUUGUAUUUGGGUCAGGAUUGGGAUCGAGAUUGGGGUCAGGAUUGGAAUUAGAAUUGGGAUUGAGGUCAGGAUUGGGGUUGGGAUUGGGAUCGGGAUUGGGGUCAGGAUGGGGAUUGGGGUUGGGAUCGAGAUUGAGGUCAGGAUUGGAAUUAGAAUUGGGAUUGGGGUCAGGAUCAGGAUUGGGGUUGGGAUUGGGACUGAGGUCAGGAUCGGGGUUGGGAUUGGGGUCAGGAUCAGGAUUGGGGUCGGGAUUGGGAUUGAGGUCAGGAUCGGGGUUGGGACUGGGAUCGGGAUUGGGAUCGGGAUUGGGGUCAGGAUUGGAAUUAGAAUUGGGAUUGGGGUCAGGAUCAGGAUUGGGAUCAGGGUUGGGAUUGAGAUCAAGAUCGGGGUUGGGACUGGGGAGGUCUGGAGUAAGAUUGGAGCAUUUGGGGGGUGGGAUGGGAUCCAUGGGAAGGGAUCAGUGAUCCCUGGGUGCUCCCUGAGGGGUUAUUGGGGUGGAUCCCUGGGGAUUUGGGGUAGAUCCCUGUGAUUUAACCCCUCCCAGGCGGGGCUGCGGGCUCGGGAACGCGCGGCUGCCCUGAGGCUGCAGGGGCUGUUCCGGCUGGGUGGAUCCCUGGGGAUUUGGGGUGGAUCCCUGGGGAUUUGAGGUGGAUCACAGGG
RNAcentral lists this long non-coding RNA (1499 nucleotides) under Cyanistes caeruleus (blue tit). RNAcentral's name for it is "lncRNA (ENSCCEG00000003759.1)". Lineage: Eukaryota; Metazoa; Chordata; Aves; Passeriformes; Paridae. The record is from RNAcentral.